GCCCGGCUGGCGCAGUCGGUACAGCAUGAAACUCUUAAUCUCAAGGUCGUGGGUUCGAACCCAACGUUGGGCG
Molecule: non-coding RNA, 73 nt
Organism: Schistocerca gregaria
Lineage: Eukaryota; Metazoa; Arthropoda; Insecta; Orthoptera; Acrididae
Source: the annotation of a RefSeq genome assembly